AACUAACGCUGGCGGCGUGCCUAACACAUGCAAGUCGUACGAGAAAGCCGGCUUCGGCUGGUGAGUAAAGUGGCGCACGGGUGAGUAACGCGUGGAUAAUCUGCCCUUAAGUGUGGAAUAACGUACCGAAAGGUGCGCUAAUAACCGCAUAAUGCCUGGCAACACAAGUUGUCCGGCCAAAGAAGGCCUCUGUUUACAAGCUUUCGCUUCAGGAUGAGUCCGCGUACCAUUAGCUUGUUGGUGGGGUAAUGGCCUACCAAGGCUGCGAUGGUUAGCUGGUCUGAGAGGAUGAUCAGCCACACUGGAACUGAGACACGGUCCAGACUCCUACGGGAGGCAGCAGUGAGGAAUAUUGCGCAAUGGGGGCAACCCUGACGCAGCAACGCCGCGUUGAGUGAGGAAGGUUUUCGGACUGUAAAGCUCUGUCGAGCGGGAAGAAGUGUACCAUGGCUAAUAUCCAUGAUAUUUGACGGUACCG
This 478-nucleotide ribosomal RNA is filed under the name uncultured bacterium. RNAcentral describes it as "bacterial SSU rRNA". It matches the Rfam family "Bacterial small subunit ribosomal RNA", at positions 29 to 480 of the family's 1533-position model. The record is from RNAcentral.